RNAcentral lists this ribosomal RNA (440 nucleotides) under uncultured bacterium. Its description in RNAcentral is "partial 16S ribosomal RNA". It matches the Rfam family "Bacterial small subunit ribosomal RNA", at positions 338 to 795 of the family's 1533-position model. The record is from RNAcentral.
CCUACGGGAGGCAGCAGUGGGGAAUAUUGCACAAUGGGGGAAACCCUGAUGCAGCGACGCCGCGUGAGUGAAGAAGUAUUUCGGUAUGUAAAGCUCUAUCAGCAGGGAAGAAACUGACGGUACCUGUUUAAGAAGCCCCGGCUGACUACGUGCCAGCAGCCGCGGUAUUACGUAGGGGGCACGCGUUAUCCGGAUUUACUGGGUGUAAAGGGAGCGUAGACGGCAGCACAAGUCUGGAGUGAAAUGCCGGGGCUUAACCCCGGAACUGCUUUGGAAACUGUGCAGCUAGAGUGCAGGAGAGGUAAGUGGAAUUCCUAGUGUAGCGGUGAAAUGCGUAGAUAUUAGGAGGAACACCAGUGGCGAAGGCGGCUUACUGGACUGUAACUGACGUUGAGGCUCGAAAGCGUGGGGAGCAAACAGGAUUAGAUACCCUAGUAGUC